GUAGGUGAACCUGCGGAGGGAUCAUUACUGAAUGGCCCUGGGCCUUCAACCUUACAAACCUGUGGAAGCAACAUGUGCUUCGGCGCCUUUGGCGUCGCAUUUAUGCUGCAAUAAGCCCAUGUGUCUGAAUCAAAUACAAGAAAUAAAACUUUCAACAAAGGAUCUCUUGGCUCUCGCAUCGAUGAAGAACGCAGCAUCUGACUGACUUGGGAUGCAU
Molecule: unclassified non-coding RNA, 217 nt
Filed under: plant metagenome
Description: partial contains small subunit ribosomal RNA, internal transcribed spacer 1, and 5.8S ribosomal RNA
Rfam family: 5.8S ribosomal RNA (bases 147-217)
Source: RNAcentral